UACAGAGGGGGCAAGCGUUGUUCGGAAUUACUGGGCGUAAAGGGCGCGUAGGCGGCCUGUUAAGUCGGACGUGAAAUCCCUCGGCUCAACCGGGGGACUGCGUCCGAUACUGGCGGGCUUGAAUUCGGGAGAGGGAUGUGGAAUUCCAGGUGUAGCGGUGAAAUGCGUAGAUAUCUGGAGGAACACCGGUGGCGAAGGCGGCAUCCUGGACCGACAUUGACGCUGAGGCGCGAAAGCCAGGGGAGCAAACGGG
Molecule: ribosomal RNA, 253 nt
Filed under: uncultured bacterium
Lineage: Bacteria
Description: partial 16S ribosomal RNA
Rfam family: Bacterial small subunit ribosomal RNA
Source: RNAcentral